Molecule: long non-coding RNA, 645 nt
Filed under: Setaria viridis
Lineage: Eukaryota; Viridiplantae; Streptophyta; Magnoliopsida; Poales; Poaceae
Description: long non-coding RNA (SVIR_LNC006395)
Source: RNAcentral
CCAACGCAAAACGAGUUCAAAAGGACUGACAUAAGUACAAACUUUUUGGGCGCGAGCCCGGUACAGCUAAUUCGCAGAGGGGUCGGCAGGAGCGGCGGCUUCAGGGUCGGCAGAAGGGGCGGCUUCAGGGUCGGCAGGAGCAGCGGCUUCAGGGUCAGCAGAAGGGGCGGCUUCAAGGUAGGCAGGAGGGGCGGCUUCAUCCUCCAGGAGCUUCGCGAGGGCCUCCGCCAGCGCGGUCACCCCGGCAUCGAUCUCAUCCAGCUCGGCUUCGGUGUAGCCGGCGCAGUACCCCUCACUCAUCCCGGCAAAGUUAAUGCCGGAAUAGUGGGAGCCGAAGACCCCGAAGGCUCGCCGCACGCCAAGGCGAAGUGCGUCCACGGCGAUCUCGCGACGGCGACGGCGCACCUCGAGGACACGAGCCGGCAGAGAGCUCGAUCCCUCCUCCGGAGCUACACCGAAGUCCUCGCAGACGACGCGGACCGCAUCUCGCAGGGCGCCGUGCUCGCCGCGCUCCUCGUCGAGCAGAGCCCGCAGAUUGGCGAUCUCACCUGCAGAAGCCACCCAAAAAAUCCCACUGAGUCAAAAGAGCAGAACACAAACGACACAAGAACGCAGGAACGGAAAGAACCUCACCGUCGCCUAGGC